GUGCCAGCAGCCGCGGUAAGACAGAGGUGCCGAGCGUUAGGCGGAAUCACUGGGCUUAAAGCGUGUGUAGGCGGACUUCUAAGUACCUUGUGAAAUCCCACGGCUCAACCGUGGAACUGCUCGGUAUACUGGUCGUCUUGAGCCACCUAGGGGCGAGCGGAACAAGCGGUGGAGCGGUGAAAUGCGUAGAUAUCGCUUGGAACGCCAACGGUGAAAACAGCUCGCUGGGGGUGUGCUGACGCUGAGACACGAAAGCCAGGGGAGCGAACGGGAUUAGAAACCCCCGUAGUCC
Molecule: ribosomal RNA, 292 nt
Filed under: uncultured bacterium
Lineage: Bacteria
Description: partial 16S ribosomal RNA
Rfam family: Bacterial small subunit ribosomal RNA
Source: RNAcentral